GCUCGGGUGGCGGAAUUGGUAGACGCGCAGGAUUAAGGAUCCUGUGGAGCGAUCCGUGGGGGUUCGAUUCCCCCCUCGAGCA
This 82-nucleotide transfer RNA is filed under the name Verrucomicrobiales bacterium. RNAcentral's name for it is "tRNA-Leu". It matches the Rfam family "tRNA". Rfam says of the family: Transfer RNA (tRNA) molecules are approximately 80 nucleotides in length. Their secondary structure includes four short double-helical elements and three loops (D, anti-codon, and T loops). The record is from RNAcentral. Lineage: Bacteria; Pseudomonadati; Verrucomicrobiota; Verrucomicrobiia; Verrucomicrobiales.